ACGGGAGGCAGCAGUGAGGAAUAUUGGUCAAUGGGCGAGAGCCUGAACCAGCCAAGUAGCGUGAAGGAUGACGGCCCUAUGGGUUGUAAACUUCUUUUUCCGGGGGAUAAAGUGACCCACGUGUGGGUUAUUGCAGGUACCCGGUGAAUAAGGACCGGCUAAUUCCGUGCCAGCAGCCGCGGUAAUACGGAAGGUCCGGGCGUUAUCCGGAUUUAUUGGGUUUAAAGGGAGCGUAGGCCGUGCUUUAAGCGUGUUGUGAAAUGUAGGCGCCCAACGUCUGCACUGCAGCGCGAACUGGAGCACUUGAGUACGCAGGAAGUAGGCGGAAUUCGUCGUGUAGCGGUGAAAUGCUUAGAUAUGACGAAGAACUCCGAUUGGGAAGCCAGCUUACUGUAGCGCCACUGACGCUGAUGCUCGAAAGCGUGGGUAUCGAACAGGAUUAGAUACCCUGGUA
This 454-nucleotide ribosomal RNA is filed under the name uncultured Prevotella sp. Its description in RNAcentral is "bacterial SSU rRNA". It matches the Rfam family "Bacterial small subunit ribosomal RNA", at positions 341 to 792 of the family's 1533-position model. The record is from RNAcentral. Lineage: Bacteria; Pseudomonadati; Bacteroidota; Bacteroidia; Bacteroidales; Prevotellaceae.